UAUAAACAUUUCUUUUACAAUUCUAGCAACACAUUGACAUGCAACAACUUCUAGGGAAAAAAAAUGACAGAGCAUAACUUCCAACAUAAACUCUCUGUAUACUAAUACUUUGCAUAUCCAGUUAGAACAAAUUCAGAUGAAGAGGCAGACAAAACAUAAGACAGAAAUAAAUAAAUGUUGAUCUGAUUUUAUUCUGCACAAAAAAGCGGAUGGCUGGGGUAGAUUGUAUUAUUGACCAA
RNAcentral lists this long non-coding RNA (239 nucleotides) under Pan troglodytes (chimpanzee). RNAcentral describes it as "long non-coding RNA NONPTRT011948". The record is from RNAcentral. Lineage: Eukaryota; Metazoa; Chordata; Mammalia; Primates; Hominidae.